Capra hircus (goat) is the source of this 998-nucleotide long non-coding RNA. RefSeq lists it as uncharacterized. The transcript is spliced from 3 exons. Lineage: Eukaryota; Metazoa; Chordata; Mammalia; Artiodactyla; Bovidae. The record is from RefSeq and is a predicted model, not a curated record.
GUCAGGUCCAGAUUUAAAACAUGAUGCCUUGACCUUUACAGAAAAGUUUCAAGCCUCCUGCCAUCACCAGAAUUCCCAGAAUCCACUCUCCUUACCUAAAUGUACUUUGUUCUCUCACUUUGCUUCUGAUAGUGGGGGCCGUGAGCCUGUUUACUGUCAGAUUACUGCCUAGUGAGUACGUAGGUCCCUCCCAUGGCCACCUGAACCAAGUGAAGCGAGAUUCUGGCAACACUCAACAGCCACCAAUUACGUGGACCAGCAUCUUGAACCAAAUUUUGAUGUGCUUCAAACCCCAGGCCCACUAAAUUCCUCAAUUUUUCUCUCUUGUCCAGCUUCCUCUCAUCAGUCAGUCUUUACAACUUAGUCUACAGUCAACAAAUGUUUGGUUUCUUCUGCCUCUCCCCUCAUUAGGACUUCAGAUAAACAGCCCUCCUUGUCAGCCUGGACAGGGCACCUUUGUUGGAAAUUUCAGAGCUGACUGCCCAGAGCCCUCACGAAGAAGAUGGAAAACACAGGAGUCAGGACCAGAUUGCCUGAGCCAGGCCAAGCCUAGGUUGAUGGGAAAUGUUACAGUGGAAGAAUGUCGUCACCAUCUGAACCCACUGAUGAAUCUCAGAAUGAACAAAAGUGAAACCACCAGAAAUAAUGCACUGAAAUAUGGAGAGGUGAAAAUAAAUUGGGCCUGGAAUUUGCUUUACAAUACUUAACAAAAACAUGGGAAUUCCCUGGUGGCCAGAGGUUAGGACUUUGAGCUUUCACUGCUGAGGGUGAGGGAUCAAGCCCCGUCAGGGAACUAAGAUCCUAUAAGCUGCAUGCCACAGCGAAAAAAAGAAACUUUAGCAAAAAUAGUAACAACUGAAAAUUUAAAAAAUGAUAAAUGAAGUAUGGCAAAAUGUUGAUGACUGCUGAAAAUUUGUGCUGGGGUUUAAUAUGCCGUUAUCUCUACUUUGUAUAUAUUUGAAAAUUUUACAUAAUAAAAAAUAAGACAUACAUACCAA